GAUGAACGCUGGCGGCGUGCCUAAUACAUGCAAGUCGAGCGAACAGACGAGGAGCUUGCUCCACUGACGUUAGCGGCGGACGGGUGAGUAACACGUGGAUAACCUACCUAUAAGACUGGGAUAACUUCGGGAAACCGGAGCUAAUACCGGAUAAUAUAUUGAACCGCAUGGUUCAAUAGUGAAAGACGCUUUCGCUGUCACCUAUAGAUGGAUCCGCGCCUCAUUAGCUAGUUGGUAAGGUAACGGCUUACCAAGGCAACGAUGCGUAGCCGACCUGAGAGGGUGUACGCCCACACUGGAACUGAGACACGGCCCAAACUCCUACGGGAGGCAGCAGUAGGGAAUCUUCCGCAAUGGGCGAAAGCCUGACGGAGCAACGCCGCGUGAGUGAUGAAGGUCUUCGGAUCGUAAAACUCUGUUAUUAGGGAAGAACAAAUGUGUAAGUAACUAUGCACGUCUUGACGGUACCUAAUCAGAAAGCCACGGCUAACUACGUG
This 497-nucleotide ribosomal RNA is filed under the name uncultured bacterium. Its description in RNAcentral is "partial 16S ribosomal RNA". It matches the Rfam family "Bacterial small subunit ribosomal RNA", at positions 28 to 507 of the family's 1533-position model. The record is from RNAcentral.